GCUUAACACAUGCAAGUCGAGCGAGAAUCGUUUUGCUGAAGGCUUCGGUCUGACGCAGAAUGAGGAAAGCGGCGAACGGGUGAGUAACGCGUGGGCAACCUGGCCUUAAGAAAAGGAUAGCCCCCGGAAGCGGGGAGUAAUACUUUAUGAGAAUAGAAAAGGGCAUCCUAUUUCUAUUCAAAGCGCAAGCGCUUAAGGAUGGGCCCGCGUAUCAUUAGCUAGUUGGUGAGAUAACAGCCCACCAAGGCAACGAUGAUUAGCCGGUCUGAGAGGGCGAACGGCCACAUUGGAACUGAGAGACGGUCCAAACGCCUACGGGAGGCAGCAGUGGGGAAUAUUGCGCAAUGGAGAAGAACUCUGACGCAGCAAUACCGCGUGAGCGAAGAAGGUCUUCGGAUCGUAAAGCUCUGUUAUCAGGGAAGAAGAAAAUGACGGUACCUGAUGAGCAAGUCCCGGCUAACUACGUGCCAGCCGCCGCUGUAA
Molecule: ribosomal RNA, 483 nt
Filed under: uncultured bacterium
Lineage: Bacteria
Description: partial 16S ribosomal RNA
Rfam family: Bacterial small subunit ribosomal RNA
Source: RNAcentral